UGAGGAAUAUUGGGCAAUGCCCGAAAGGGUGACCCAGCAACGCCGCGUGGAGGAUGAAGGUCGUAAGAUUGUAAACUCCUGUUAGAGGGGAAGAAUAACUAAGUUUGGAGCUUAGUAUGACUGUACCCUCAGAGAAAGCCCCGGCUAACUACGUGCCAGCAGCCGCGGUAAUACGUAGGGGGGCAAGCGUUGUCCGGAUUUACUGGGUGUAAAGGGCGCGCAGGCGGAAUGGAAAGUCAGUGGUGAAAUCCUACAGCUUAACUGUAGAACUGCCUUUGAUACUUUCAUUCUUGAGUUCGGGAGAGAGAGACGGAAUUCCAUGUGUAGUGGUGAAAUACGUAGAUAUCUGGAAGAACACCAGUUGCGAAGGCGGUCUCUUGGUCCGAUACUGACGCUGAGGCGCGAAAGCGUGGGGAGCAAACAGGAUUAGAUACCC
RNAcentral lists this ribosomal RNA (436 nucleotides) under uncultured bacterium. RNAcentral's name for it is "bacterial SSU rRNA". It matches the Rfam family "Bacterial small subunit ribosomal RNA", at positions 355 to 787 of the family's 1533-position model. The record is from RNAcentral.